RNAcentral lists this ribosomal RNA (799 nucleotides) under Shigella sonnei. Its description in RNAcentral is "partial 23S ribosomal RNA". It matches the Rfam family "Bacterial large subunit ribosomal RNA", at positions 390 to 1190 of the family's 2925-position model. The record is from RNAcentral. Lineage: Bacteria; Pseudomonadati; Pseudomonadota; Gammaproteobacteria; Enterobacterales; Enterobacteriaceae.
GCACAUAUUGUGAGCUUGAUGAGUAGGGCGGGACACGUGGUAUCCUGUCUGAAUAUGGGGGGACCAUCCUCCAAGGCUAAAUACUCCUGACUGACCGAUAGUGAACCAGUACCGUGAGGGAAAGGCGAAAAGAACCCCGGCGAGGGGAGUGAAAAAGAACCUGAAACCGUGUACGUACAAGCAGUGGGAGCACGCUUAGGCGUGUGACUGCGUACCUUUUGUAUAAUGGGUCAGCGACUUAUAUUCUGUAGCAAGGUUAACCGAAUAGGGGAGCCGAAGGGAAACCGAGUCUUAACUGGGCGUUAAGUUGCAGGGUAUAGACCCGAAACCCGGUGAUCUAGCCAUGGGCAGGUUGAAGGUUGGGUAACACUAACUGGAGGACCGAACCGACUAAUGUUGAAAAAUUAGCGGAUGACUUGUGGCUGGGGGUGAAAGGCCAAUCAAACCGGGAGAUAGCUGGUUCUCCCCGAAAGCUAUUUAGGUAGCGCCUCGUGAAUUCAUCUCCGGGGGUAGAGCACUGUUUCGGCAAGGGGGUCAUCCCGACUUACCAACCCGAUGCAAACUGCGAAUACCGGAGAAUGUUAUCACGGGAGACACACGGCGGGUGCUAACGUCCGUCGUGAAGAGGGAAACAACCCAGACCGCCAGCUAAGGUCCCAAAGUCAUGGUUAAGUGGGAAACGAUGUGGGAAGGCCCAGACAGCCAGGAUGUUGGCUUAGAAGCAGCCAUCAUUUAAAGAAAGCGUAAUAGCUCACUGGUCGAGUCGGCCUGCGCGGAAGAUGUAACGGGGCUAAACCAU